Molecule: ribosomal RNA, 301 nt
Filed under: uncultured bacterium
Lineage: Bacteria
Description: partial 16S ribosomal RNA
Rfam family: Bacterial small subunit ribosomal RNA
Source: RNAcentral
CAGUAGCCGCGGUAAUACGAAGGGGGCUAGCGUUGUUCGGAUUUACUGGGCGUAAAGCGCACGUAGGCGGACUUUUAAGUCAGGGGUGAAAUCCCGGGGCUCAACCCCGGAACUGCCUUUGAUACUGGAAGUCUUGAGUAUGGUAGAGGUGAGUGGAAUUCCGAGUGUAGAGGUGGAAUUCGUAGAUAUUCGGAGGAACACCAGUGGCGAAGGCGGCUCACUGGACCAUUACUGACGCUGAGGUGCGAAAGCGUGGGGAGCAAACAGGAUUAGAUACCCGCGUAGUCCCUGUCUCUUAUAC